RNAcentral lists this small RNA (1047 nucleotides) under Pan troglodytes (chimpanzee). RNAcentral describes it as "processed transcript". The record is from RNAcentral. Lineage: Eukaryota; Metazoa; Chordata; Mammalia; Primates; Hominidae.
CGGCACCGUAGGUGAGGCCGGCGGCGUGGGCCUUUUCUCUGCACGGAGCCGGCGCUUUUGCAGUUGCUUCUGCGGAAAGGUGGUAGUUAAGAAUUUGUAAAGGCCAGGGAACUAGCUACGAUUCUCUCAGCGGUCUCUCUUCUCCUGAAGUUUGAAAUGCUUUAUCUCAUCGGCUUGGGCCUGGGAGAUGCCAAGGACAUCACAGUCAAGGGCCUGGAAGUUGUUAGACGCUGCAGUCGAGUGUAUCUGGAAGCCUACACCUCAGUCCUGACUGUAGGGAAGGAAGCCUUGGAAGAGUUUUAUGGAAGAAAAUUGGUUGUUGCUGAUAGAGAAGAAGUGGAACAAGAAGCAGAUAAUAUUUUAAAGGAUGCUGAUAUCAGUGAUGUUGCAUUCCUUGUGGUUGGUGAUCCAUUUGGACACUUGGAGACCAGAAAGCUUCUUUGACAAAGUGAAGAAGAACAGACAAAAUGGCAUGCACACAUUAUGUUUACUAGACAUCAAAGUAAAGGAGCAGUCUUUGGAAAAUCUAAUCAAGGGAAGGAAGAUCUAUGAACCUCCACGGUAUAUGAGUGUAAACCAAGCAGCCCAGCAGCUUCUGGAGAUUGUUCAAAAUCAAAGAAUACGAGGAGAAGAACCAGCAGUUACCGAGGAGACACUUUGUGUUGGCUUAGCCAGAGUUGGAGCCGACGACCAGAAAAUUGCAGCAGGCACUUUACGGCAAAUGUGUACUGUGGACUUGGGAGAACCAUUGCAUUCCUUGAUCAUCACAGGAGGCAGCAUACAUCCAAUGGAGAUGGAGAUGCUAAGUCUGUUUUCCAUACCAGAAAAUAGCUCAGAAUCUCAAAGCAUCAAUGGACUUUGAACAUAGAUAUUUACUAUUGUCUGAUGUAAAUUUCAGCCAUAUAUGGAUUGAUAUGGUUUGGCUGUAUCCCCACCCAAGUCUCAUCUUGAAUUUUAAUCCUCAUAAUUCCCAGGUGUUGUGGUAGGUAAUUGAAUCAUGGGGGCAGUUUGCCUCAUGCUAUUCUCAUGAUAGUGAGCUUUCAUGAG